UCCAACUUGCUCCUCAUGUCUGACGUGUUGAGUCAAGAUGAGCUGCGAGAAAAGCUACACCAAACGUUGAAGGAUCGGGGUGUACUGGGCACACUCAAACACAAAUUCAAAACCAGCUAAUCUAUGAGUAGAUGCACCCUGAAUUGAAUGGAACAUUGCAAUCUCCGUUCAUUUCAGUGCAAGGGAACUCCCUCUUACUAGCAGCCUCUAACUCUUCAGUGGCCGAUCACUAACAAAGAUGUGGCUAUGAGUCUUCACUUUCUGUUUUCUUUCCAGAAAUUGGUUUAGCAAAAGAAAAUGUAUUUACUAUGCAGGAUGGAUUGCACUCAAUAAAAAUCACCGUACUUCAGGUUUCUAGAAAUCACCGGUCUCAGGAUUUGAUAAAGAAAACCAAAAAUCUGACAACCUUCAGCUUAUUGGUGAUCAACUGGCAGAUGCUUAUCCUAAGCAUAUAAAGUUUGAGUCUUUAGAAAUAAAGCUAAAUGAAGAUAAGAGAGAAAUAGAAAAGCAACUUCUGGCAGAAAUGUGUCAAAAGUUGAAGUUUUUUAUGAAAGUUAUAAUAGAGUGUGAGAAGGAAUUAUCUAUGUUCUGAAAUGAUUUUGAGAAAGCUUGUCAAGCGGAAUCUGAAAACUUUAUUCUUUGGAAAAAGAGUACCCUUGAGAGACAUCAAAAGCACCAAGAGAUUGAAACAAGAAAAUCUAUGCUCAAAGCCUUGUUUUACUAAAAGAUAUAGAUUUGUUAAGAGGAAAAAAGGCAAAGCUAAAGCAGAGAGUUGAAGCUUUUGAAUUGAACCCAGGAACUCCAGGAAGAAAAACAUAAAAGCAUGACUGAGGACUUAGGAGAUGGGAGCAGAAUACAAAGUGUCUUGAGGAAACCUAUGACUGAAACCUAAAAAACGUACUUCUAAAGAAAAGCUGUUUACUUGCAAGAGGAGCUCACAGUUAGUAAUCCAAAAAAGGAGGAACUCAAUCAAUCUGUAAGUUUUAUGUAAGAACUCCAGAUUGAGUUAAUGUCUGUCAAAGCACAGUCUUUGGCAAUAACAAAACAAAUAUAUUGUGAAUGAAAGUGUUCAAGAGAUAAGUGACUAUUUACUACUAAAGGAAGAAAAACUGGAAGAGAAUAAAAAUAAAAACAUGCAUCUCUUAAACC
This 1149-nucleotide long non-coding RNA is filed under the name Homo sapiens (human). RNAcentral describes it as "non-protein coding lnc-CDY2B-8:1". The record is from RNAcentral. Lineage: Eukaryota; Metazoa; Chordata; Mammalia; Primates; Hominidae.